RNAcentral lists this ribosomal RNA (781 nucleotides) under uncultured Candidatus Cenarchaeales thaumarchaeote. RNAcentral describes it as "bacterial SSU rRNA". It matches the Rfam family "Archaeal small subunit ribosomal RNA", at positions 506 to 1286 of the family's 1478-position model. The record is from RNAcentral. Lineage: Archaea; Thermoproteati; Nitrososphaerota; Candidatus Cenarchaeales.
GGCCCUAAAGCAUCCGUAGCCGGCCGUCUAAGUUUUCGGUUAAAUCUAUGCGCUUAACGUAUAGGCCGCCGAAAAUACUGGACAGCUAGGGAGUGGGAGAGGUACACGGUACUCAAUAGGAAGGGGUAAAAUCCUUUGAUCUAUUGAUGACCACCUGUGGCGAAGGCGGUGUACCAGAACACGUUCGACGGUGAGGGAUGAAAGCUGGGGGAGCAAACCGGAUUAGAUACCCGGGUAGUCCCAGCUGUAAACGAUGCAGACUCGGUGAUGCAUUGGCUUGUGGCCAAUGCAGUGCCGCAGGGAAGCCGUUAAGUCUGCCGCCUGGGAAGUACGUACGCAAGUAUGAAACUUAAAGGAAUUGGCGGGGGAGCACCACAAGGGGUGAAGCCUGCGGUUCAAUUGGAGUCAACGCCAGAAACCUUACCCGGGGCGACAGCAGAAUGAAGGUCAAGCUGAAGACUUUACCAGACAAGCUGAGAGGUGGUGCAUGGCCGUCGCCAGCUCGUGCCGUGAGAUGUCCUGUUAAGUCAGGUAACGAGCGAGACCCCUGCGUCUAGUUGCUACCAUUACUCUCUGGAGUAGUGGAGCGAAUUAGACGGACCGCCACAGUUAAUGUGGAGGAAGGAAGGGGCCACGGCAGGUCAGUAUGCCCCGAAACCCUGGGGCCACACGCGGGCUGCAAUGGUAUUGACAAUGUGUUCCGAAUCCGAAAGGAGGAGGCAAUCAUCAAACGAUACCUCAGUUAUGACUGAGGGCUGUAACUCGCCCUCACGAAUAUGGA